Molecule: ribosomal RNA, 533 nt
Filed under: uncultured bacterium
Lineage: Bacteria
Description: bacterial SSU rRNA
Rfam family: Bacterial small subunit ribosomal RNA
Source: RNAcentral
AGGAAUAUUCGACAAUGGAUGGUAAUCUGAUCCAGCCAUGCCGCGUACAGGAAGACGGCCCUAUGGGUUGUAAACUGUUUUUGUAUGGGACGCAAUAAGGUGUAUGCGUAGACUGAUGAGAGUACCAUACGAAUAAGCAUCGGCUAACUCCGUGCCAGCAGCCGCGGUAAUACGGGGGAUGCAAGCGUUAUCCGGAUUUAUUGGGUUUAAAGGGUGCGUAGGCGGUUUGAUAAGUCAGCGGUGAAAUAUUUCAGCUUCACUGAAAGGCUGCCGUUGAUACUGUCAGGCUUGAAUAUGGUUGCUGUGGGUGGAAUGUGUGGUGUAGCGGUAUAUGCUUAGAUAUCACACAGAAUAUCGAUUGCGAAGGCAGCUCACAAAGCCAUUAUUGACGAUGAUGCACGAAAGUGUGGGGAUCACAACAGGAUUAGAUACCCUGGUAGUCCACACUGUCAACGAUGAUUACUCGCUGUCGGCGAUACACAGUCGGUGACCAAGCGAACGCGAUAAGUUAUCCACCUGGGGAGUUCGAAGGC